Molecule: ribosomal RNA, 621 nt
Filed under: uncultured bacterium
Lineage: Bacteria
Description: bacterial SSU rRNA
Rfam family: Bacterial small subunit ribosomal RNA
Source: RNAcentral
CCUACGGGAGGCAGCAGUGGGGAAUUUUGGACAAUGGGCGCAAGCCUGAUCCAGCCAUGCCGCGUGAGUGAAGAAGGCCUUCGGGUUGUAAAGCUCUUUCGGCAGGAACGAAAUGGUUCGUGUUAAUACCACGGACUGAUGACGGUACCUGAAGAAGAAGCACCGGCUAACUACGUGCCAGCAGCCGCGGUAAUACGUAGGGUGCAGGCGUUAAUCGGAAUUACUGGGCGUAAAGCGUGCGCAGGCGGUUUCUUAAGUCAGAUGUGAAAGCCCCGGGCUUAACCUGGGAACUGCGUUUGAAACUGGGAGACUUGAGUGUGGCAGAGGGGGGUGGAAUUCCACGUGUAGCAGUGAAAUGCGUAGAUAUGUGGAGGAACACCGAUGGCGAAGGCAGCCCCCUGGGUUAACACUGACGCUCAUGCACGAAAGCGUGGGGAGCAAACAGGAUUAGAUACCCUGGUAGUCCACGCCCUAAACUAUGUCAACUGGUUGUCGGGGGAUUGAUUCCCUUGGUAACGAAGCUAACGCGUGAAGUUGACCGCCUGGGGAUACGGCCGCAAGGUUAAAACUCAAAAGAGUAGUAGACGUGAGAGAGCGACGACGACGACGACGGAGGAGGAG